UUCCUGGUGUAGCGGUGGAAUGCGCAGAUAUCAGGAGGAACACCGAUGGCGAAGGCAGGUCUCUGGGCCAAUACUGACACUGAGGAGCGAAAGCGUGGGGAGCGAACAGGAUUAGAUACCCUGGUAGUCCACGCCGUAAACGGUGGGCGCUAGUUGUGCGAACCUUCCACGGUUUGUGCGACGCAGCUAACGCAUUAAGCGCCCCGCCUGGGGAGUACGAUCGCAAGAUUAAAACUCAAAGGAAUUGACGGGGCCCCGCACAAGCAGCGGAGCAUGCGGCUUAAUUCGACGCAACGCGAAGAACCUUACCAAGGCUUGACAUAUACAGGAAUAUGGCAGAGAUGUCAUAGCCGCAAGGUCUGUAUACAGGCGGUGCAUGGUUGUCGUCAGCUCGUGUCGUGAGAUGUUGGGUUAAGUCCCGCAACGAGCGCAACCCUCGUUCUGUGUUGCCAGCAUUAAGUUGGGGACUCACAGGAGACUGCCGGGGUUAACUCGGAGGAAGGUGGGGAUGACGUCAAAUCAUCAUGCCCCUUACGUCUUGGGCUGCACGCAUGCUACAAUGGCUGGUACAAACGGCUGCGAUACCGCAAGGUGGAGCGAAUCCGAUAAAGCCAGUCUCAGUUCGGAUUGGGGUCUGCAACUCGACCCCAUGAAGUCGGAGUUGCUAGUAAUCGUAGAUCAGCAACGCUACGGUGAAUACGUUCCCGGGGCUUGUACACACCGCCCGUCACAUCACGAAAGUCGGUAACACCCAAAGUCAGUGGCCCAACCGUAAGGAGGGAGCUGCCAAAGGUGGGAUCGGUGAUUGGGAUGAAGUCGUAACAAGGUAA
RNAcentral lists this ribosomal RNA (830 nucleotides) under uncultured Actinomycetes bacterium. RNAcentral describes it as "bacterial SSU rRNA". It matches the Rfam family "Bacterial small subunit ribosomal RNA", at positions 667 to 1499 of the family's 1533-position model. Lineage: Bacteria; Bacillati; Actinomycetota; Actinomycetes. The record is from RNAcentral.